This is a long non-coding RNA of Salvia miltiorrhiza (redroot sage), 2010 nucleotides long. RefSeq lists it as uncharacterized. Lineage: Eukaryota; Viridiplantae; Streptophyta; Magnoliopsida; Lamiales; Lamiaceae. The record is from RefSeq and is a predicted model, not a curated record. The transcript is spliced from 4 exons.
GAAUCUAUCAAUUCUAUAAAGCAAUACAUUUUUUAGAGCUCACAGCCACUCUCUCUCCUACGUGGCUCAACCUCAAUUCUUUAUUUGCUUCUCUGUGAAUUCUCUCAAAUCUCGUAUACAUAUUCUUUUCUCUCCAUUUUGUAACUCACGUAGAUUCUCACGGGAAUCAGCAUACACCAAAUCAAAACUCCUUAAUUUCGCACCCCACAGCAAUAAUUGAAUCAGUUUCAUCAAUCACCGUUUCAAUUGCGUGAUUCUGUCAAUCUUCCUCCCCAAUCCAUGUCAAUAUCAAUAGCACAAUUUUGGGAGUGAUUCAAUAAUAUCUUUCCCGACUCCAGGCGGCGCGACUCCAUUGCGGGGACGGCUUUAGGCGGCGACUCUCCUCCUCCGUCCUAUCUCCUUCCCUAUUGUCUGAACUAACCGGCAAGGCGGCGACACUAGGGCAGAAGAGAAACGACGGCAUAGUCAUUGUGGGUGCCGGAAUCGCUGGCCCCGCCCUCGCUUACACUCAGAAAGGUAUGCUGGUACUGCCAACAACAGCCUGAGAAAUUUGUAUGUUAUGUUUGUCAAACUUCAGAAAAUCUUUGGAUGUGUUUUAUUUGUGGUUUUGUUGCCUACGGGGAGGGGAUUGCUUUUCCAGUGUUUGAUAAACUAGAAGCAGAGUUGGCUAAAAGUUGGUGAGUUCAACACUCAGUUUGAGAAAUGGCAGCUGCUUCUGAACUCCAUUGUCGCAUUUAAUUCUCAUUCACCGUCAUCUUCGGCUUAUCAAUAUUCAAUUUUUGAGGUAUGUUCUCUAAGAUUUACUCGCAUUUUAUUUAUUACUGUUAAUUUUUUGGUGAAAGAACAUUGAACUAAACAUGUGGUUGAAACUGUUCUUGCUGAAUUAUUGAUUGUGUUGCUAAAGUGUUGGUUAUAUUUCAUUGUGUGAGAUUGCCGGCGAGGGAUGUUUUUUAUUCAAAUAUGCUAUUGUGUAUCAACUAUUCAAUCAAAUGCCUAAGUAAUAUUGUGUAUUGAUUUUUCUUCGAAUUUCAAGUGUUGUGAAUGUGAAAAUGUGGAGUUUUUGUGGAGACAAUUAUUUAAGAGUAGCCUAUGUUGUUAUAUACGGUUGUGGAUCUUUGAUUUUUCCUUUCAAUAUUUUUUUUCAUAUUUCAAUGAUUUAAACAUCCCAUGGCACGAUUUUUUUUGGUAUCAAUAUUGUUUUUCAUAUUUCGACGAUUAUUUUUUUUCAUAUUUAAGAGUAGGUUAUGUUGUUAUAUACAUUUUCUGUAGUGAAUUUGGGUGGUCGAGCACUCAAAUUUCUUUGCUGCAAAUGAUGUUUGAUGCCAAUGGCCUAUCUUGUAAUGUUGUUUUUAUAUAAGUCCUAUUAAGGUAUAGACAAGCUUUUAUAGCAUAUAUCUAAGAUUUGGGUCUAGAUUGCUGUAAUUUGGAAUACAACUUAUUGAGUUAUAAAGUGUUGACUGAUCUCCAAUCUAAUAAGUCAAUUUCGAGUGACAUGCUCCGUAAAAACUUUGACUUCUAUAUUAUCGACCAAAUUAAGGUGAAACAUGAAGGAGGCUGAUGAUAAUUUAAAUUGGUCUUCUUGUGCCAGUGUAAAGCAGGAAGUAAGUUUGCUGCAAUUUUUCUUAAUAUAGAUUUACACGUAUAUUUCUGUUCAAUUCAAGUGGUUUCACAAGUAAAGAGUUACCGCAUUAGCCAACUACAUACCAGCGAUGAUGGUGAAAUAGUCGCGCAUAUAUAUAAUAUGCCUGUCUUACAGUUAAGUUAAAUUUAUGUAUGGUCUUUUGUAUUCUAAACAUCAAUAUUUUUUAUUGUUUCUUCUUUCACAACACUCUAAUGAAACUUAAGGUGUUUGUAUCGCAUCUAUAUAUUUGUUUCACCUGCCUCACUUUCUAAAUUUGUUAUAGUAUUGCUUGUAAUGAAAUGAAACUUUCAUGGCAUGCGUAUCAGCUUGCUGAACACAGUGUUUGUUGAAGUUAUGAGACAUUAUUGGAAUUUUGAUCAAGGGAUAAA